AUUGAACGCUGGCGGAAUGCUUUACACAUGCAAGUCGAACGGGAGCACGGACUUCGGUCUGGUGGCGAGUGGCGAACGGGUGAGUAAUACAUCGGAACGUGCCCAAUCGUGGGGGAUAACGUAGCGAAAGCUACGCUAAUACCGCAUACGAUCUAAGGAUGAAAGCGGGGGAUCGCAAGACCUCGCGCGAUUGGAGCGGCCGAUGGCAGAUUAGGUAGUUGGUAGGGUAAAGGCCUACCAAGCCGACGAUCUGUAGCUGGUCUGAGAGGAUGAUCAGCCACAGUGGGACUGAGACACGGCCCAGAGCCCUACGGGAGGGAGCAGUGGGGAAUGUUGGACAAUGGACGCAAGUCUGAUCCAGCCAUUCCGCGUGCAGGAUGAAGGCCCUCGGGUUGUAAACUGCUUUUGUACAGAACGAAAAGGCUCUGGUUAAUACCUAGGGCUCAUGACGGUACUGUAAGAAUAAGCACCGGCUAACUACGUGCCAGCAGCCGCCGUAA
Molecule: ribosomal RNA, 500 nt
Filed under: uncultured bacterium
Lineage: Bacteria
Description: partial 16S ribosomal RNA
Rfam family: Bacterial small subunit ribosomal RNA
Source: RNAcentral